AAAAAAAAAAUCAUUUUCUACAAAUUAUAAACACCCAAAAAAAUCCAUAACAAGAGAAUGCACAAGAUUUAAUCCUUACCAUAAAAAACAAGUUGCAUAGAAGCAUUAAGAAAUAAAGGUUGUAGGUGAUCAUAAAUCAUAAUGUGCCUAAACAAGACCCAUUCAAACUCACAAAAAUUGGAGCCAAGAAUGAUUCUCUUGCUCCCCAAGCUUAAUAUAUAUUGUACACACGUCUCACACGCUGCCUUACUCGUUAAGAUUCAAACGCGCAUUCAACACAUUCUCUUACUUAACCCACUCUUCUACUCCUCUGUCGACACGACACUCACUCACACUCACAUUCCUCGCCGUUUCCCGGUGUAGCCACCGACGUAGCCACCGUCCUCCACCUCACUUCUUCACUUUUUCACUCUAUAUAAACACUCACAUCAUCCUAAACAUGUCUACCACCGCUCCACCUCACCCACCACCGCCUGCACUCCGUCGUGUUCCACAACCGUCAACUCCGCCACGGUUGAUUCCAGAAAGAGGACAGGUGCUCCGAAACGUGCUCAGAACUGUUUUCUCGUGUUUUUGUUUCGCCGGAGAGAGACGGAGACGAAGCCCACGACGCUUUAGAAGAGCUUCGACGGUGUCGCCGGUUUGUUCGUGACGGGGAUCGGAUCGAUUGGCGAUUGACGAUCGUGAUCGGCGCUGUUCUUGGCGACGGCGAGUAUGGUUUGUUUAUUACUGAUAAAUUAAACCUAAUAAGAAUCAGAAUUCAAACGAUUUUCGUUUGUAUGUUCAUA
Molecule: non-coding RNA, 788 nt
Organism: Lactuca sativa (garden lettuce)
Lineage: Eukaryota; Viridiplantae; Streptophyta; Magnoliopsida; Asterales; Asteraceae
Source: RefSeq, a predicted model, not a curated record